RNAcentral lists this ribosomal RNA (446 nucleotides) under uncultured bacterium. Its description in RNAcentral is "partial 16S ribosomal RNA". It matches the Rfam family "Bacterial small subunit ribosomal RNA", at positions 65 to 523 of the family's 1533-position model. The record is from RNAcentral.
AAAGGAAGAAGAUCUAAGAAUGCUUCUUUAAGAAGCUUUCUUGAUGGAGGGGAGUGGCAGACGGGUGAGUAACGCGUGGGAACAUACCCUUUUCUACGGAAUAGCUCUGGGAAACUGGAAUUAAUACCGUAUACGCCCUACGGGGGAAAGAUUUAUCGGGGAAGGAUUGGCCCGCGUUGGAUUAGCUAGGUGGUGGGGGAAAGGGCUCCCAAGGCUACGAUCGAUGACAGGGCUGAGAGGAUGAUCAGCCACAUUGGGGCUGAGACCGGGCCCAAACUCCUACGGGAGGAAGCAGUGGGGAAUAUUGGACAAUUGGCGCAAGCCUGAUCCAGCCAUGCCGCGUGAGUGAUGAUGGACUUAGGGUUGUAAAGGUCUUUCACCGAUGAAGAUAAUGACGGUAGUCGGAGAAUAAGCCCCGGCUAACUUCGUGCCAGCCGCCGCGGUAA